AAUCAACGCUGGCGGCGUGCCUAACACAUGCAAGUCGAACGAGAAGGUGACUUCGGUCACUGGAUAGUGGCGUCCGGGUGAGUAACACGUAGGUAAUCUACCUUCGGGUGGGGAAGUAACGUCUCGAAAGAGACGCUAAUACCGCAUAAUGCAGCGGCACCUAAUGGUGAUUAGUUGUUAAAGCGGGGGAGUCUUCGGACCUCGCGCCUGAAGAGGAGCCUGCGGCAGAUUAGCUAGUUGGUGAGGUAAUGGCUCACCAAGGCUUCGAUCUGUAGCUGGUCUGAGAGGACGGCCAGCCACACUGGCACUGACACACGGGCCAGACUCCUACGGGAGGCAGCAGUGGGGAAUUUUGGGCAAUGGGCGAAAGCCUGACCCAGCAACGCCGCGUGAAGGAGGAAAUCC
Molecule: ribosomal RNA, 405 nt
Filed under: uncultured bacterium
Lineage: Bacteria
Description: bacterial SSU rRNA
Rfam family: Bacterial small subunit ribosomal RNA
Source: RNAcentral